GCGGACAUAGCUCAAUGGUAGAGUGCAAGCUUCCCAAGCUUGAAGUUGCGGGUUCGAGCCCCGUUGUCCGCUCCA
Molecule: transfer RNA, 75 nt
Filed under: Deltaproteobacteria bacterium
Lineage: Bacteria; Pseudomonadati; Myxococcota; Myxococcia
Description: tRNA-Gly
Rfam family: tRNA
About the family: Transfer RNA (tRNA) molecules are approximately 80 nucleotides in length. Their secondary structure includes four short double-helical elements and three loops (D, anti-codon, and T loops).
Source: RNAcentral